GCCAGAGUGGUGGAACGGCAGACACGCCGGCUUUAGGUGCCGGUGCCCUUUGGGUGUGCGGGUUCGAGUCCCGCCUCUGGCACAA
RNAcentral lists this transfer RNA (85 nucleotides) under Kribbella antibiotica. Its description in RNAcentral is "tRNA-Leu". It matches the Rfam family "tRNA". Rfam says of the family: Transfer RNA (tRNA) molecules are approximately 80 nucleotides in length. Their secondary structure includes four short double-helical elements and three loops (D, anti-codon, and T loops). Further hydrogen bonds mediate the characteristic L-shaped molecular structure. tRNAs have two regions of fundamental functional importance: the anti-codon, which is responsible for specific mRNA codon recognition, and the 3' end, to which the tRNAs corresponding amino acid is attached (by aminoacyl-tRNA synthetases). tRNAs cope with the degeneracy of the genetic code in two manners: having more than one tRNA (with a specific anti-codon) for a particular amino acid; and 'wobble' base-pairing, i.e. permitting non-standard base-pairing at the 3rd anti-codon position. The record is from RNAcentral. Lineage: Bacteria; Bacillati; Actinomycetota; Actinomycetes; Propionibacteriales; Kribbellaceae.